AGGUUGUAAGCUCUGCCCUGGAUAUGAGGCCUCCAUUGAUUCUGGUUCCUCGGGCAUUCUCUAGCAUAAUGCUGGGCACUGCCACAAAUACGACAAGUGUUGUUGAGGCGGUAGCAGGGUCGGUCCCCGUGAUCUCUGUCGCAGUGGUGAUAGAUCUUCCCACGUGCUGCCCCUGGAGCCUGAGGAGGGGCCUGGAUGGCU
Molecule: long non-coding RNA, 201 nt
Filed under: Carica papaya (papaya)
Lineage: Eukaryota; Viridiplantae; Streptophyta; Magnoliopsida; Brassicales; Caricaceae
Description: long non-coding RNA (CPAP_LNC013803)
Source: RNAcentral